AGAGUAUAAUGCAGCCAAGGAUGACUUGCCGGAGUGUUGUUCAUCAUGCAUAAAAAAUAUUGAUGAUGAUGAUGGUGAUGAACAUAAUUCUGGCAAGUUGUCCUUCGGCUACAUUUUGCUCUCU
Molecule: non-coding RNA, 124 nt
Organism: Brassica napus (rape)
Lineage: Eukaryota; Viridiplantae; Streptophyta; Magnoliopsida; Brassicales; Brassicaceae
Source: Rfam